Molecule: ribosomal RNA, 369 nt
Filed under: uncultured bacterium
Lineage: Bacteria
Description: bacterial SSU rRNA
Rfam family: Bacterial small subunit ribosomal RNA
Source: RNAcentral
GGAGGGUGCAAGCGUUAUCCGGAUUCACUGGGUUUAAAGGGAGCGUAGGUGGGAUGGUAAGUCAGUGGUGAAAUCUCCGGGCUUAACUCGGAAACUGCCGUUGAUACUAUCAUUCUUGAAUAUUGUGGAGGUAAGCGGAAUAUGUCAUGUAGCGGUGAAAUGCUUAGAUAUGACAUAGAACACCGAUAGCGAAGGCAGCUUGCUACACAAUUAUUGACACUGAGGCUCGAAAGCGUGGGGAUCAAACAGGAUUAGAUACCCUGGUAGUCCACGCCCUAAACGAUGGAUACUCGACAUACGCGAUACACAGUGUGUGUCUGAGCGAAAGCAUUAAGUAUCCCACCUGGGAAGUACGACCGCAAGGUUGAA